RNAcentral lists this ribosomal RNA (328 nucleotides) under uncultured Glomeromycotina. RNAcentral describes it as "partial large subunit ribosomal RNA". The record is from RNAcentral. Lineage: Eukaryota; Fungi; Glomeromycota.
CNUUUGAGCUCGGUCUCNNGGGUUUUGNAGAAUUUCAAAGCCUUCGUGUUNGCGGGAUUGGGAUCUCUUGGUGUACUUUUUCGUACGGUUNGUCAACAUCGGUUUUGAAUGUCAUAAAAUGACUGGAGGAAUGUAGCUUCGAUCUCGUAUUGAAGUGUUAUAGCCUUUGGUANAUGUGAUGUUUGAGACCGAGGAUUGCAACGGAUACCCUUCGGGCUAUUCNUCUGAUCUCUGAUACGUUGCCCUGAUGUUNAAANCUUGCUUAUGAUGUUANGGUAUUACGGUCAAAANGUUAAAACGAAUUACNUUCNUUANGGAUGUUGACANA